AGAGUUUGAUCCUGGCUCAGAUUCCAACGCUGGCGGCAUGCCUUACACAUGCAAGUCGAACGGCAGCAUAGGAGCUUGCUCCUGAUGGCGAGUGGCGAACGGGUGAGUAAUAUAUCGGAACGUGCCCUAGAGUGGGGGAUAACUAGUCGAAAGACUAGCUAAUACCGCAUACGAUCUACGGAUGAAAGUGGGGGAUCGCAAGACCUCAUGCUCCUGGAGCGGCCGAUAUCUGAUUAGCUAGUUGAUGGGGUAAAAGCCUACCAAGGCAACGAUCAGUAGCUGGUCUGAGAGGACGACCAGCCACACUGGGACUGAGACACGGCCCAGACUCCUACGGGAGGCAGCAGUGGGGAAUUUUGGACAAUGGGGGCAACCCUGAUCCAGCAAUGCCGCGUGAGUGAAGAAGGCCUUCGGGUUGUAAAGCUCUUUUGUCAGGGAAGAAACGGUGGUAGCGAAUAACUACUACUAAUGACGGUACCUGAAGAAUAAGCACCGGCUAACUACGUGCCAGCAGCCGCGGUAAU
RNAcentral lists this ribosomal RNA (524 nucleotides) under uncultured bacterium. RNAcentral's name for it is "bacterial SSU rRNA". It matches the Rfam family "Bacterial small subunit ribosomal RNA", at positions 8 to 524 of the family's 1533-position model. The record is from RNAcentral.